ACAAGCUUGAGAAAUGGGCCUGUAUGAACCUCAUGAGGUUCAACAAGGUCAAAUGCAGAGUCCUGCACCUGGGUUGGGGCAACCCCUGGUAUCAAUACAGGCUGGGGGAUGAGGGAUUGAGAGCAGCCCUGAGGAGAAGGACUUGGGGGUACUGGUGGAUGAAAAGCUGGGACAUGAGCAAACAAUGUGCGCUUGCAGCCCAGAAGGCCAAUGGCAUCCUGGGCUGCAUCAAAAGAAGCGUGGCCAGCAGGUCAAGGGAGGUGAUUCUGUCCCUUUACUCUGCUCUGGUGAGACCCCACCUGGAGUACUGUGUCCAGCUCUGGAGCCCUCAGCACAGAAAAGACAUGGAUCUGUUGGAGUGGAUCCAGCAGAGGGCCACAAAAAUGAUCUGAGAGCUGGAGCACCUCUCCUAUGAGGACAGGCUGAGAGAGUUGGGAUUGUUCAGCCUGGAGAAGAGAAGGCUCCAGGGAGAACUUAUUGUGGCCUUUCAACACUGAAAAGGGGCUUACAAGAAAGAUGGGGGAAAACUUUCUAGCAGGGCCUGUUGCGAUAGGACAAGGGAUAAUGGUUUUAAACUAAAAGAGGGUAGAUUCAGACUAGAUAUGAGGAAGAAAUUUUUUACAAUGAGGAUGGUGAAACACUGGCACAGGUUGCCCAGAGAGGUGGUAGAUGUCCCAUCCUGGGAAAUAUUCAAGGCCAGGUUGUACGGGGCUCUGAGCAACCUGAUCUAGUUGAAGAUGUCCCUCCUCAUUGCGGGGGGGUUGGACUCAAUGAUCUUUAAAGGUCCCUUCCAACCCAAACUAUUCUAUGAUUCUAUGGUUUUCUUCCUGCUUGUUCUACUACAAUUGCCCAAAACUUUAAUACAGCCACUGUGAGGCAAGAUUUUGGGGAUGGAGUGAAAUGAGAAAAAGACUGCUUGAGGUCAUUUAGCAGUGGUUAUCUUUUAGAGAAAAAACUUAUUUCAGCAUAAAAUGAAAGGCCAAUCAAAGCCAAAUUUGGUCUUACAAGAACUUUGAAAGUCUCAGCUGUGCUCAAGAAGAUUUUCUCCAAACCUGUAUGUGUACAUUACAUUGAUCACAAGAAAGUUCAGAAAAUACUCAAUAUUAGUUUUAACUGGCGUACCUGUAUCCCAAAGAUGGUUCUCAAAUAGGCCCCGUGUAUCAUUCCCUUAAUGAAAUAAACAUCUGUGAAAAACAAAGGUGGUCUAAGGAAGGGUAUUUGGCAGCAAAGUCCACUCUUGCCAGAUGUAGGGGUAUUUCACCACAGCACCUGGCAUCACAGACCCUCACCAUGCAGGCAAAGAGACUGACUUUCACCUCCUGCCGUUUUAACACCAGAACGAGCAAUGCAUCACCACAUGCAAAACACAGGCCAUGGCGUCAUCUGUGGGCAACAAAGGUCCCACCUUCUGAGUGCUAAUAUGGAACCCAAAAAAUACAUCAUGACUGUGCUUCCCUCUGCAAAGGGCUGAGUUUUGUUUUGACUAAAAAUAUACUUAUUGCUAAUAAAGCACUAACAUGGUUUUGCCUGGUUUCUCAUACCAAAAGAGAGCAGAACACCCUUGAAUUGUUCUUGAGGGAUGGACAACAGAGACAGGGAACAGGACAAUGUCAGCGUUCCCUAAGAAGUUGCUUUUAACGAAGAGCAUUUAAUGAAGAUCAAGCGGUAUAUGUUACAGACUUUGUGUAGUUUAACUAAAAGAGGCCAUAACCCUCUGGAGUUUACAAGUGCUUUGUAUGAACCAGAAAAAUUUGGCUGACAUCUGCCUUUACAGCAGAUUUCCCAUAGCAUCCAGCUAUUCCAGUUUAUUCAUAAUUAAAAGACAUCAGAGACAUCUGCUUUAAAAGUGGAAGCAAACCUUCCAAGCGGUUACAGCUGCAUGGUCUUUAUUCUAUUUUUCAAUGCAAUGGGACCAUCUUCUUUUCAAAAUGACCUUCUUCUAUCUACCACUAUAAAUACUACCGUUGUCCAUGGCUUGUUAUCGCAGUAAAUUACUGAACUAGAAACAAUACGGAAUGACCUUCUUUUUGAGAAGAUUACUGGGGAUGCAGCGGCAGCGGCAGCAGGAAGGAGCAGCAGAGGCAUAGUACUUAGCACAAAUAAUACUGGCAUGAGCAAUGAUAACUUUUAAAAACGUUUCUUAUGAAAUGGAGAUCAGAUAAGAAUAUAGUCAGGUCUUUAUUGACACAAGAUCAUAGGAAAAAAACACCUUACACGGACAACACUCACAAACAUUCCUGCUCAAAUGACAUUUCAUCUGGUUUAGGGGUUGGGAAGGAGGAUCAAGCAAUGGAGCAAGUGACUCCUUUCCCACUGGCCGCCUCCCUUCAUAAAGUGUUUUAUAAAUGAUGAUGCAUAGAAAUAAGGUGUUGUUCACUCGGGAAGAGAAAUUUCAUUGCCUGUUUUUCACUUGGUGCAUUUGUGUUUCAAAGGAAGCCCAGGUUUCUUCUGUAUCUUCCUCUACCCUUUCAUGGGCUGUCCUGAUGAUAACACCCUGUUUUCUGCUUCACAUAAUCGCUUGUCUUGAAUUCGCAGUCAGUGGCAUCACCGCUCUGAGAAGGUAACUGGCUGGCUGCAAGGACAAGUGAGGUCACCCAGAGCGUGUGUUCCUACUAAAAUUACUACAAUAAAUGAUUUAUCACCUCGGAGGAAAAAUAUCUGAAGAAAUAGAAAAUACUUUUCUCAGAUCCUUAUACAGGAAAAUUGCAUUAGCUCCAUCAUAUGUCAAGUAACGUGGCAGAGCGGUUCGGUGUUUUACUCCACUCUUUAGCCAAACCCAGGCUUGGCCGCUUCUCAUCAAAGGUGUAUCCUCCACAAAAAGAGGCAGCAAUGCACGUGUCUGCUCAAGUGCAAACCUCGAUGGAGACCAACCCCCUCCAGCAGUGACAGAUCCAGGCAGACCUGAGCCUCAGAGAUAUUCUGUGUAGCUCCCAGUCAGUAGGAGGUUGCAUCUGCCCCGUUGCUCUACACCUGCUGCAAUGCUUGGAGUGAUGCUGCACUCAGCCUCUGUGUCCCUCCAACAUGGGGAAAGCGUUGCUGCAGGGCACCGAGUUGCAGAGGAUGAGGAUGGUGUUGAGACGGUCCCUCUGUGGCAGGUGGGCUGUUGUCCCAAAAACACAUCCAGGGCAAAGAUUUGUGACUGAGGGCAAAGGGAGAGCAGAAUGUGCUGCGAACACAAAAACAGAGUGAGAAAAGCAUGUUACAGGAUGAGCUUUGACACGUGGCUGGUUUGCGUGUGAGAAAAGAUGGUGCUUGAACUUACCUGGAGCUGAGUAGAGGAAUCAAGACAGAAGCAGGAUGGCAUGUCUCAGAGAGCAUGUAAGGAGGAAGCCACAUCCAAUUCCAGGGAUUCCCAAAGGCCGAUUUUACUGGGAAAAAUCAAGGCAAAGAAGGCAUUGAGUACCUUGGCUUUUUCCAUCACCUUCCCAGGGAUCGAGUCCUCAGGAACCUCUCCCACUUGCCACGACCUUCCAAAGAUGGUCAAGACUGGCAUUGCAAUGACAUUGGCCAGUGCCCUCAGCAGUCAUGGAUGCAUCCCGUCAGGUCUCAUGGACUGUGUAUGUCCAGUUUCUUUGAAUGUUUCCUAACCUGAUCCUCCUUCACAGAGGAAGGGAACACACGUUAUUACAGAGGUACGAAUUUCACACUUGUGGGAGAUCAGUGGAAUGAGACCAUCAGCUGUGUCUGUUGCCCUGACCAUGCACGGAGGACCACCACACUACUGUGGCUCUUGAAGGACCUUCUGGAAUAUUGCCAUCUCAUACUGUUUCCUACAAAAUACAUUUCUUUUCUCUGUGAUGCUUUGAGAAAUUCCCACUCCAGCCUCUUCUCAAGGGUCGUUAGUCAUCCCUUUCCAGCACUUUAGUAUCAUAUGUGAUUGACCAGACUGUGCUGGUGCGUACUCCUUGCAAUCCCCCAAAGGUCCUCAUGAAAAACCAACACAGAUUUCCCUUAAAAAACCCAGCGUGAUGGGAGUCACUGAUUUUUACCAGCUGUAUGCUGACCCUGAGUUAGUUUAAAACUGCAAGAUUCACACUUGGACAGAAGCAUAUGGAUUAGUACUACUAAUUCAUUUAUUUUUAACUGUCUCUAGAGGUUUUCACUGAUAUUCUUGUUUCUGAGUCCUGAUGUGGUAAAUACUACUUUGCUUGGAGACAGCUCACAGUUUCGACCUGUUUAGUGAUCUUCCUAAAUAUCCACUGGGAAGAAAGCAUUUUACGUCCACGAAUCUAGUUCAUUCGAAUUCUGAUAAUAGCUUCAAUUCAAUAUCUUAUUAUUUCUUAUUUAUAAUGUAAUGACCAAAGCUACACGUUGCUGUCUAUUUUUUAUAUACUUUCUCAAACAACGCCUGUAUUUUCACUUCACUUCUCUCCUAACCUUCACAGAAUCACAGAAUCAUAGAAUCACAGAAUCACAGAAUGAUAGGGGUUGGAAGAGACCUCUUGGAGAUCAUCUAGUCCAACCCCCUGCCAGAGCAGGGUCACCUAGAGCAGGUUGCACAGGAACACAUCCAGGUGGGUUUUGAAUGUCUUCAGAGAUGGAGACUCCACCACCUCUCUGGGCAACCUGUUCCAGUGCUCUGCCACCCUCAAAGUAAAGAAGUUCCUCCUCAUGUUUAGGUGGAACUUCCUAUGUUGAAGUUUGUGCCCGUUACCUCUUGUCCCGUUGCUGGGCACCACUGAAAAGAACCUGGCCCCACCCUUCUGACUGCUUGACUUCAUCAGACUAUUUAUCAGAUUUGUAUAUUCAGCUUCAUUUUACUAAUCUUUGUAUUUCUAUACUUCAUUUCCCUGGCAUUAAGAGGAAAUUCAACAGUAAAAAAAAAAUAAAAAUCAUAUAAUUGCUCUGUUUCUUAUUUCAUAAAUCUCAUUUCAAAAUCCAAUAGUUAAAAUUUGGUGACACCACUUUUCUCCAGAAGAAGCAACCCUUGGGUCUCCGUUACCAUUCAAAUCAGUUAUUAAAACAGAGCAAAACUGCGGUGGUACAAGACGAUGUACUGGCGAUGCCCAAACCAGUUUCUGCAAGACAGGA
Molecule: long non-coding RNA, 5031 nt
Organism: Chroicocephalus ridibundus (black-headed gull)
Lineage: Eukaryota; Metazoa; Chordata; Aves; Charadriiformes; Laridae
Exons: 4
Source: RefSeq, a predicted model, not a curated record